AUUCCGGGGCUGGGGUACCGGGACGAGGGGAGCGCUCUGAAGGGGGAGGCGAACUUGCCUCCGGAACGGGGAUCCCGAAGCGGGCUGGCUGUCAACGGGCUGGAAUCCGUUGGCCUCUCCCCGAAUCCCUGUUCGGAUAUCCUAGUUCCAGCCACCAUGCUCUCUCGCCUGGACUACUGCAGCAGCCUCUAACCAGUGUCCCUGCAGUCCUCCUUGCCUCCCCCCUCCCCCAAGCACCUCCACAAAGCAGCCUGAGUUACCUGUUGAACAUGUGCUGGGAUCAUGUCACUCACCUACUUCAACUUCCUGUGACCUCCCACUGCAUGUGGAAGAAGACGGGUGAUGUCUCAACCUGGCCACAAGGCCUGCAUGAUUUGGCCCUCACCUCUUCUUACUCCUCAGACUCUUCUUGGCUCCCAACUAUGCUCUUUGCAGAACCUAGUGUCUCCCAGCCUCAGGGUGCUUCAGUUUGCUGUGCUGGCUCCCUGGAAUGUUCUUCCGAAAUGUUGGCCUGACUCCUUCUUCCUGUCAUUUGAGUCUCCCCUUCUUGAAGAGGUUCCUCUCAGAAUGCCAGCUCCACAGACAGGACCUUGUCUGUCCUGUUCCGCCUAUUUCCAGAGCUUGAACAGGCCUUGGCAUAUGGUAGGGCCUCAAAUAUUUGUUGACUGGACAGGAAUGGAUUCUAUUCAAGAAAACCCUUACCCGGCCAUCCUCCCAGAACUCAACUUCUUCCCAAGCCUAGGAGGGGUGCUCAAGGGUGGCCCCAAAGGAUGCUGGGGAACACCCAACCCCCUGGGUAUCAGGAGCCUCUGAAGCCAUGCGUGGCAAUACUGCCAGGGCCUGGAGGGUCUACACAGUGCCUCCUGGCUAACUGGAAAGAAGCCCCUCAGGCAGAUGCGGACCCCUGGGGCUUGGCUGAGCAGAAAGUGCCUUUGUCAGGAGGAAACGGGCCUCUUUCUCUGGAGAGGUGCAGCCCAGCCAGGACACAAGGCUAGGUGAGUGGAGGCCUCCUGAAUGGGGCUCGUUUGUGUAGCGACAACUUCUCAGCCAGACAAGACAGCCCUGGAACCCCCUCUCCUCCCACCUUGGCUCCAGAGCAUCCCUAUCUGUAGGGCACUGCUGGGAGGGUGCCCAGGAGAGGAAGACUUAGUCCUUGGACACGAGGCAUCAGAUCCACCUGGGAGAACAGGGCUGCCUCCUGCAGGCUCACGUGGGAGGCAGUGGCCGCCCCAGCAUGUAGACCUCACAACCCUACUGCUCAAGAGGUGGGGCCGGGCUCCUGGCCCACUUUUGUGCACCAACCAUUUGGAUCCCAUUCCUUCUCUUUGCUGAUUCCAAGGAUUUAUGCCUCAAGGUGCAUCUUAAAAAACAACAAACAAAUAAAACUUAAAGAAGGCAAGAAACCAAAUUGCAAAUCAAAGCAAGAGUCUUUGGGUGCUGGCUCAUAGAGGGCUCAGUUCUAGCCCUCUUUCCUUGUGAUUGUACUGUUCCCCGGUCUCAUGCCCACCACACUGUGUGUAAAACAUUCCCUGAGUGCAGACACUGGAGCUACAGGAGAAACAAGUUGCCCACAGCGGGCUGCCUAUGUUUCCAGACUCCUUAUCUGUUCCAGCCUGUUCGAUUCCUCCCAAAGGAAACUAAUAUCAGGUCCCGCUAUGGUCUGU
Myotis lucifugus (little brown bat) is the source of this 1664-nucleotide long non-coding RNA. RefSeq lists it as uncharacterized. The record is from RefSeq and is a predicted model, not a curated record. The transcript is spliced from 3 exons. NCBI's taxonomy places the organism in Eukaryota, Metazoa, Chordata, Mammalia, Chiroptera, Vespertilionidae.